Acinonyx jubatus (cheetah) is the source of this 3701-nucleotide non-coding RNA. Lineage: Eukaryota; Metazoa; Chordata; Mammalia; Carnivora; Felidae. The record is from the annotation of a RefSeq genome assembly.
GGAGGUCAGGAGGCUCUAAAUUGGAAAUGCAUUGUUUUGUUGUUGCAAAGAGUCAAGGUAAAAUUUGAGGAUGAAUUCAUUAGGUUUCUCUUAGAAAAAUAGUCUGUGUAUGCAUGGAAACUCUGUUCUAAAGAUUUGUAGCAAUAAGCCCUCUACAAAGGCCUGAAGAAAGCCCUUAGUCAGGCUUUUGGUCCCCUCCUCAGUCAGGGAAAAGGCAAGCUCUAGGUGAGAGUCGCUCCACUGUUUAUGAGGAAAAAGACUCCUAGCCAAAAUGUAGGAAGAGGAAGUGUUAAAAAGAAGAAAAAUAUUAUUGCAGAGAGAGUUAGAUCAAGACAGUCUUCUCUCCUUCAGAUGACAAAAGCUAAUCUUGCCUUUGUGUCUUUUUGCUGAGAACUUGCAUUAAAUCAGUGUGCCUGGCUCAGACUAAAUGAUCCCCCAGGCCCCAUCCUUGUCUGGGUCUUCCAAGAGCAGAAAUUGCAUCCCUUUGGUUAGCCCUAGAUCUGAAGACUCUGCACAGGGUUCAGGAGCCUACAUCCAAUGUAGAAUCACAGCCACCAACUUCAGGACAACAGGGAAGUCAUGGUGCUCUCCUAGAGAUACUGUCCCCUGGUAAGGCAUGCCAGUGCUCAGAAAUCCAGGGGUGAUAUUCAGGUAGUUUGGGUAGCUGCCAACAGUCACUGGGACUGGUCCAGAGAACAGUAGUCUUUCAGAAGCUUUCCAAAAUGCCAAGUCCAAUGGGGCAGGCAUUGCCCCCUUACGUGGUUAAAUUUUGUUUCGGAGGAAAUAAAGAAGUGGGGAAAUGUACGUGAAUGUGGCAAGGUUGACAUCCUGAAAGCAGCUGGUACUGUCAACAUGACGUCUGCCUCUCAGAAGGAAACAUAAACUUACAGGGGUUCUUGGUUGCCUGUUGCUUCCAGGCCAAUAGUGGGAUUUGGUGUGUUAUCUUAUCUUUGAGAAGGGAGAGACUAGAAAGAAGGAGGGAAACAAUCAUGUUGUAGCUGAUUGCAGUCUGAUCCAUGUUGGGCAAAUUGCAUCUGAGCGGAAAGUAUUGUAUUUCAUUUUCCCUUUAAAUCAUUUCCACUUGAAAUUCAGAAUUAUCUGCAGUGUUACAAUCAAAUCUCUGAGGCUGUGGCUUUGGGAAUCUUAGGGAAAAAGGAAAGACAUGAAACUGAUGCUUAGCCCCUCUGCCGGGACUCUGACCUGUGCUCUCUGGUGAUACUCUAUUUACUUCUUCAGUUUUCUCUUCCUGCAGUGAUGGAGUGUAAUAUGAUUAUGUGAAGCUCAGUUAGGGAAAGUGAGAAUUUCAAGUCAAGCCCUCAAUCCUUAAAGUUUUGACAGCAAAUAAUGGCCCUAUACAACCAUCGUUCCCUUUGGCUCUAGCCCUAGUCUCUAGAUUUCUGGUGAUGAGACUGAGUAAUCCAUAAGGCCUUCAAAUUCUAUUUCACAUGAUUAUUAUAUCCUCCUGAAGCUUGUAUCUGGAUCCAGAUACGGGAGGAAUCAAAAAACAAAAACAAGUGGUCCAAAGCAAGCAGCGGCUUCUCUGACCCACAUCCAUGGACACACAGCACCCUGGGCUCUCCAUCCACUACCAACUUCUUGUUCAAGCCUCAGAUCCUUAGAAAGCCUUUCCUUGGGCUCGGGGAAUUAGGAGACAGAUUCCUUAUUAUUGUGAAGCUCACUCUGAGUAAUGGGGAAGAAAUUAGGUUUCUAAUCAAAAAGCAGUAUCUGUGACCCAAGAGAAGGGAACCAGAAUGUGAGAACCAGACCUGUGUCUAAACCCUCUUCAGCCAAACAUUCACUCUAAGAAAUGUCACUAUUCCGUGCCCCAUCCCUAUUCCCAAGCUAUCGUGUUCUUCUUGGAAAGGCCUCCAAUAAACUGGGAGUUAAACUGUCCAUCUUGAAGGCAGCUACCAGUCACCUGUCGCCUUCUUCUCUUCCUCUAUGUCAGCUCUGUCCCCUGUCUCCGUGCUUCCUGGCUGGGAUUUCAUGCACACAUCCUUAUCCAGCAGAUACACUAUUAUUAGCUUCAAAGGGAACUGAGCCUCUGUGCACUCAGCCCCUUGAUCUCAUCGAGGGCAGCUUUGUAGUUCUCUGAGCUGUGGGGUCUCUAGGCUGGGACCCAGGCUGGGGAGGCAGGGCACAGAUGUUCUAGGCCAGGCCCCAGGGCCUGCCCCAGGCUGGUUACUUGUGAGGCAGUGCUGCGAUGUGCUCCUGGGAUACCCGACAGAUGUUUUUUGGAGCCGGCACCAAACUCCUCGUGGAACCACAAAGCCAGCCUCCUGCCAAACCAUCCGUUUUCAUCAUGCGAAAUGGGACGACGGUUGCUUGUCUGGUGAAGGAUUUCUAUCCUAAGGAUAUAGACAUAAAACUCGAAUCAACCAAGAAACUAGAAGAAUUUGACCCUGCUAUUGUCGUCUCCCCCAGUGGGAAAUACAGUGCUGUCAAGCUUGGUCGGUAUGAAGAUCCAAAUUCGGUGACCUGUUCGGUUGAACACAACAGUGAAGUCGUGAGCUCCACUAACUUUGAACCAAGGACAAAUUCUUCAGGUACCGUAAAACCAAAACCAACGGAAACUGAAAACAUAAAGCUAACUCCAAAGAGCAUCAGUGAGCCCAAAGCCACAGUUCAUCACAGUUCACAGUUCACAGCCGGGAAUGUAAACAUGCUGUCCCUCACAGUGCUGGGGCUCCGGAUGGUGUUUGCCAAGAGUCUUGCCAUCAAUUUUCUCUUGACUGCCAAGUUAUUUUUCUUUUAAGGCUGACUGGCUUAGGAGGCUGCCUUAUGAAACUCCCACAUUAUGUCUUCACAAAAGCCUACAGAGGAGCUGUCUCCUAGACUUCUGGCUUCUCGGUGAUUCAAGGUGACCGAUCCCAGUCUUGCUUAAGUGGCUGCUACCCAAACCAUCAAAGCAACAAACCCAGCUCAUUUUCCAGCUUUGUGAAAGACACAAGUCCUAGGGAGUAGGGCGUUAUGGUCCUAACUGCUCUAUCUGCUGCUUUAUAAAGGGAUAUAGGACUCAUUUUUUUUAUUAUUAUUUCUACAACAGAUACACUUUGAAAAUAGUGUUUUGUUCCCUUAACUUUCUUUGCCUUCAAAAGUAGAAAGUGGGAGCCAACAGAUUCCCAGCUCCAUACUCCCCGAGGAAAACAGACCCUGGGGGUUGGAGAGAAGAUGCCCUUCACCUAACAGGAAUGGCUCUGUUCAGCUCAGCACUAGGUUUGCCUCAAGCUGGCAUUCUCAUCCACAAAAGCACUUUCUGCUUUCCUUAGUACUUUACAAACAAAAUUACAUUUGACUUCUCAUGCAGCCAAUGGGGUUUCUAAAGCCUCAUCUAAAUACUCUCCAAGCUAUUAGCAAAGAUCAGGGUAAAAUACAGAGAAAAUUACUUUUAUCAAUUGACUUCACAAACAUGAAUUGACUCCUUCUAAGUUCCAGGCACCGAGCUGAGGGUGUAAAGAUGAAUGAGAGGUGGGCCUGCUUUCAAGCAACUUACUGUGCAAGCACUUUUGGAGGGAGGGAGAGGAAUGAGACUCCUAGAUUUGGGCUGUGAAAAGAGUAUCUUUACUGGGUUUUGCCUGCCAAUAUAUGCACAGGGAAUUUGAUUUCAGUGGAUGCUGACUCUUGCCUGCCCCUUGUUGUUGAUGGUUUUCUGCCAUUCUCAGUGUUGUCUCUGUUGCAUUUAUUAAAGUGCAUCGAGUGUG